Long non-coding RNA from Cajanus cajan (pigeon pea), 647 nucleotides. RefSeq lists it as uncharacterized. The record is from RefSeq and is a predicted model, not a curated record. Lineage: Eukaryota; Viridiplantae; Streptophyta; Magnoliopsida; Fabales; Fabaceae.
UGAGAAAGCAACCCUGCUAGCUUGAGCUAAGUUAAAACAACACAGCUCCAAGAAAAUGAAACAAUCCAGAAACACUCCCUCCGGCUCUUGCCCUAGCAAACCAGAAACACUCCCUCGCCGGCCACUCUACAGUCGCACCGCACCACUCCGGCCUCCAAGUGACCAAGGUUGUAGCUUCCGUGCCAGUCUAGAGCCACACCGUUACCCGUUGUGUUUUCUCCCUCCGAGCGGCUCCGUCACCACAACUGUUUGAAAACUAAAAUGCUGUGCUCAUCCACCGAGUCAGAUCAUGCAAUUUUCUUUUGGUUGAUGCCUCAUAAAGUUGCGGUAUGGAUAUAUUGGCAUGUAAGCUCUGUUUUGCUAUACUUUCCACUUACUGUGUUUUUAUAUGAUAAAUUAAUAUUUAGAGCGAAUGCUGUCAGACUAAUAUAAGUUUUCUUUGGCAAGCAAUUUAAGGCGCUUGAACUUGUAAUGAUUGAAAUUUGAAGUGUGAUUGGAACUGAAAUGUACUAAUUAAAGAGACCAACUAUUGGGUUAAUAAGUAAUGUAUAUUUAUGUUUUGGAUAUAUUAAAUAAAAAAUAUAUCCAGUGGCCCAAUGGAGUUGUAUGAUCCAGAACAAUAAACACGAUCGAAUAUUUAUGCUUAA